Molecule: ribosomal RNA, 625 nt
Filed under: uncultured bacterium
Lineage: Bacteria
Description: bacterial SSU rRNA
Rfam family: Bacterial small subunit ribosomal RNA
Source: RNAcentral
AACACGUAGGAAUGUACCCCAAAGUGAGGGAUAAGCACCGGAAACGGUGUCUAAUACCGCAUAUGGUCUUCGGAUUAAAGCUUCGGCGCUUUGGGAACAGCCUGCGGCCGAUUAGAUAGUUGGUGAGGUAAUGGCUCACCAAGUCGACGAUCGGUAGCUGGUCUGAGAGGAUGAUCAGCCAGACUGGAACUGAGACACGGUCCAGACUCCUACGGGAGGCAGCAGUGAGGAAUCUUCCACAAUGGGCGAAAGCCUGAUGGAGCAAUGCCGCGUGCAGGAUGAAGGCCCUCGGGUCGUAAACUGCUUUUAUUAGUGAUGAUUAUGACGGUAACUAAUGAAUAAGGGUCUGCUAACUACGUGCCAGCAGCCGCGGUCAUACGUGGGACCCAAGCGUUAUCCGGAUUGACUGGGCGUAAAGCGUUGCGUAGGCGGUUUUUCAAGCGAAUAGUGAAAGCGUGAGGCUCAACCUCAUACACAUUAUUCGAACUGAAAAACUAGAGAACAGUAGAGGUACCUGGAAUUUCUAGAGUAGGGGUAAUAUCCGUAGAUACUAGAAGGAACACCGAUGGCGUAGGCAGGGUACUGGGCUGUUUCUGACGCUGAGGCACGAAAGCGUGGGGAGCGA